Molecule: long non-coding RNA, 379 nt
Filed under: Pelusios castaneus (West African mud turtle)
Lineage: Eukaryota; Metazoa; Chordata; Testudines; Pelomedusidae
Description: lncRNA (ENSPCEG00000010763.1)
Source: RNAcentral
AGCAUGUCACCUUCAGGCAGCAAAGUCCAUUUGCCACGGCCAGCCCAGAAGGAAGAAGAAAAAGACAAGAUGAAAUUCUGAUUGCUCCAGUGAGGUCUCCACGGUGGCCGUGGUCAUCAGGACAAGGGCAUUCACCAACUUCCAGCUCUGCUAGGAGAAAGGACUGUGUUGUCAUCCCACAUCAGGCAAGGACCUCUCAUUGCAUCCACAUCACUGAGCUGCUGCUGCGAAGAAUCUGUGAAAUGUAACCAGUGGUUGACCUCUGAGCCACUGAUAUCAGGAAACUCACUGAACAGCUGGUGACGGAAUCAGCAGAGAGAGAGACACACCUACACUUCCCAGGGGAAGAUGAGGGGAAUGACCUGCCCCCUGCUCCCCU